GCGACACUAGCUCAGUUGGUAGAGCGUAACCUUGCCAAGGUUGAGGUCACGAGUUCGAACCUCGUGUGUCGCUCCA
RNAcentral lists this transfer RNA (76 nucleotides) under Vibrio parahaemolyticus. Its description in RNAcentral is "tRNA-Gly". It matches the Rfam family "tRNA". From Rfam's summary of the family: Transfer RNA (tRNA) molecules are approximately 80 nucleotides in length. Their secondary structure includes four short double-helical elements and three loops (D, anti-codon, and T loops). RNAcentral also lists the same sequence under 1 other name. Lineage: Bacteria; Pseudomonadati; Pseudomonadota; Gammaproteobacteria; Vibrionales; Vibrionaceae. The record is from RNAcentral.